GGAAUUUUGCGCAAUGGGAGCAAUCCUGACGCAGCAACGCCGCGUGGGUGAUGAAGGCCUUCGGGUCGUAAAGCCCUGUCGGGUGGGAAGAAUAGGCCUGUGGCGAAAAGCUGCGGGAGAUGACGGUACCACCAGAGGAAGCACCGGCUAACUCCGUGCCAGCAGCCGCGGUAAUACGGAGGGUGCAAGCGUUAUUCGGAAUUACUGGGCGUAAAGCGCGUGCAGGCGGGUGGAUAAGUCUGAUGUGAAAGCCCGGGGCUCAACCCCGGAAGUGCAUUGGAAACUAUCCAUCUUGAGUGCUGGAGAGGAAGGGGGAAUUCCCGGUGUAGAGGUGAAAUUCGUAGAGAUCGGGAGGAAUACCAGUGGCGAAGGCGCCCUUCUGGACGGCAACUGACGCUGAGACGCGAAAGCGUGGGGAGCAAA
Molecule: ribosomal RNA, 423 nt
Filed under: uncultured bacterium
Lineage: Bacteria
Description: bacterial SSU rRNA
Rfam family: Bacterial small subunit ribosomal RNA
Source: RNAcentral